Molecule: ribosomal RNA, 253 nt
Filed under: uncultured bacterium
Lineage: Bacteria
Description: partial 16S ribosomal RNA
Rfam family: Bacterial small subunit ribosomal RNA
Source: RNAcentral
UACGAAGGGUGCAAACGUUGUUCGGAAUCAUUGGGCGUAAAGCGCACGUAGGCGGCCUUGCAAGUCGGAUGUGAAAUCCCACGGCUCAACCGUGGACGUGCAUCCGAAACUGCUCGGCUCGAGUAUGGAAGAGGGUCGCGGAAUUCCCGGUGUAGAGGUGAAAUUCGUAGAUAUCGGGAGGAACACCAGUGGCGAAGGCGGCGACCUGGGCCAAUACUGACGCUGAGGUGCGAAAGCGUGGGGAGCAAACAGG